UACAGAGGGUGCGAGCGUUAAUCGGAAUUACUGGGCGUAAAGCGCACGUAGGCGGCUUGGUAUGUCGGGUGUGAAAUCCCCGGGCUCAACCUGGGAACUGCAUCCGAAACUGCCUUGCUAGAGUAUGGGAGAGGGAAGUGGAAUUUCCUGUGUAGCGGUGAAAUGCGUAGAUAUAGGAAGGAACACCAGUGGCGAGGGCGACCACCUGGACUGAUACUGACACUGAGGUGCGAAAGCGUGGGGAGCAAACAGG
This 253-nucleotide ribosomal RNA is filed under the name uncultured prokaryote. RNAcentral describes it as "partial 16S ribosomal RNA". It matches the Rfam family "Bacterial small subunit ribosomal RNA", at positions 524 to 776 of the family's 1533-position model. The record is from RNAcentral.